RNAcentral lists this long non-coding RNA (1890 nucleotides) under Apteryx haastii (Great spotted kiwi). RNAcentral describes it as "lncRNA (ENSAHAG00000017760.1)". The record is from RNAcentral. Lineage: Eukaryota; Metazoa; Chordata; Aves; Apterygiformes; Apterygidae.
AUGCUGCGUGCUGCUCCUGCGCUGGGAUCGGUGCGUCCCCCACGUCCCUCGGGAGGGCAGCAGUGCCGGUGCCAGGGCAUCUCCGGGCACGGGCUGCUGCCUUGCUGGGAAGGGCUCGGAUGCUUCCCCUUCUGUUGCCCACAGCGCGACGUGUGGAUCGCUGCAGGCCCGGCUGGCGCAGCCCCAGGCAUGCCGGGCUGCCUUGCCUUUGGCUCCCCAUCCCACGCGCUGCAACUCUGGAAAAGCCCGGCGGAGCCCCGCUGCCGCUUCCCCUUUCCGAGUUCCCACUCGCCGCGUCACCGGCCAGUGCGGAGGCGGCUCUUGCGCCACGGGCCGGGGGCUCGCGGCCCUGCCGUUCGCCCCCAGACAGGGGUCCCCAGCGCCCCGUGUCCCCACGGCACCGCCUGCCCCGUCCCGCAGGGACCCCGUGUCCCGCGCCGCUCCCUCCGGGCGUCCUGCCCCCGCGGGCCAGCCUGGACCGUGCGCUGGGGCUGCAGGACCCAUGGGAGCAGCUGGGGACGCUGCGCAGCCCCGCCGAGGCAGGGAAGGGUCUGGGAGCCCGUCGGCGUGACUCAGAGCCGAAGGGGAACUGAGAGCGCUGUUGCGGGGCGGCGCCUGCUCCGUGCCCCAACCUGCGACCAGCCCCAUGGCGCUGGGGAAGGGGGACCCCUGCCCCGGACCGUGCGGGGAGAGCGGAGCGCCCAGCACGGAUUUGCACUCCCGCGGGGGCAACGCCAGCGCCUCCUCGGGGCGCAAACCCUUUCCCUGCGGCGCAGGGCCACACCAGGGCGAGGGCAGGCGUGCACCCGGUGGGGAUGUGCAGUCCCACCUGCAAACCCGGGGGUCUGCRGCCCCGUCCGUGUGCACAGCCCCAUCCACACGUGCCCGAGGAUGCACAGCCCAUCCAUGUGCCCGGGGAUGCACAGCCCGUCCAGGAGCGUGGGGAUGCACAGCCCAUCCACACAUCCCGAGAUGCACAGCCCAUCCAGGAGUGCGGGGAUGCACAGCCCAUCCACACAUCCCGGGAUGCACAGCCCGUCCACAUGUCCCGGGAAGCACGGCCCAUCCACGCACCCAUGUGCACCCCGUGCGCACCCAGGGGCGAUGCAGCCGCAGGGCAGCGCAGCUCCCGGGACCCAGCGGCUUCGCAGGCUCGGAGCAGCGCUGGGCCCGGCUGAGCCCGGUCCCGUGCCCCCACGCCACCGGGUGCCACCGGGUGCAACAGGGUGCAGGGAGGGCAAUGCUUGUUUUCUGUCCAGCUUUGUGUUUACAGCUUUCAACUUCCCUCCAGCCGGUUCCCACAGAGAUGCCCGUGUCGCCAUAGUUACCGGAACGAAUAUUCCUGCUCUUGGCAGUAAACAGCCUGCAAGAAGGCAGAUUUCCGUGGUAAAAUGCUGGGGGUUGCUACACCCAAGGAAAAUGUUGCAAUGGCAACUUCUCCCUCCCCGUCCUGCCCAGGGCUGGCGGCUGUGGGAAACGGCCCCCGGCUGGGAACGGCAGCGCCGGGCACCGUCGGAGCCGCUGCAGGGGCACCAGGAGGAGGAAAAGAGAGAACUUGUCCCAGCUUCUCCUGGGAGCAGCCGAAACCCCUCCAUCGCCUGCACUGCGGGUGCCAGGAGCGCGUGCCGGCUCCCCCUCGAGCAUCCCGGCCUCGGGGACCUGCAGCCGGGGACAGACCCAGCACGGAGCCCGGCACGGGCUGGCCACAGCGCAAGGGCUGCGGCUGCUGGGCAGCAGGGAAGAGCCCACGGCAGCUUGGCCCCGGGCAAGGCCGCGAUCGCGGAGCCACGGACGUGCCGGGGCGGCGCUGGGCUCCGGGCGGGAGCAGAGCUCCGGAGCCGGUCGYGCAGAAGCCCGGCAGAGCCCCGGUGCCUGGCUGAUGCAGGUUGA